Molecule: ribosomal RNA, 336 nt
Filed under: uncultured Ruminococcus sp.
Lineage: Bacteria; Bacillati; Bacillota; Clostridia; Eubacteriales; Oscillospiraceae
Description: bacterial SSU rRNA
Rfam family: Bacterial small subunit ribosomal RNA
Source: RNAcentral
AGUAGUUUGAUCAUGGCUCGAGGACGAACGCUGGCGGCACGCUUAACACAUGCAAGUCGAACGGAGAAUAUUUGGUUUACUAAGUAUUCUUAGUGGCGGACGGGUGAGUAACACGUGAGCAACCUGCCUUUGAGAGGGGGAUAGCUUCUGGAAACGGAUGGUAAUACCCUAUAACAUAACGAAGCCGCAUGACUUUGUUAUCAAAGAUUUAUCACUCAAAGAUGGGCUCGCGUCUGAUUAGAUAGUUGGUGAGGUAACGGCUCACCAAGUCGACGAUCAGUAGCCGGACUGAGAGGUUGAACGGCCACAUUGGGACUGAGACACGGCCCAGACUCC